AGAGUUUGAUCCUGGCUCAGAUUGAACGCUGGCGGCAUGCCUUACACAUGCAAGUCGAGCGGCAGCGCGGGGGCAACCCUGGCGGCGAGCGGCGGACGGGUGAGUAAUACAUCGGAACGUGUCCUUUCGUGGGGGAUAACCAGUCGAAAGACUGGCUAAUACCGCAUGAGAUCUCACGAUGAAAGCGAGGGACCGCAAGGCCUCGCGCGAUUGGAGCGGCCGAUGUCGGAUUAGCUAGUUGGCGGGGUAAAAGCCCACCAAGGCAACGAUCCGUAGCUGGUUUGAGAGAACGACCAGCCACACUGGGACUGAGACACGGCCCAGACUCCUACGGGAGGCAGCAGUGGGGAAUUUUGGACAAUGGGGGCAACCCUGAUCCAGCCAUGCCGCGUGUGUGAAGAAGGCCUUCGGGUUGUAAAGCACUUUCGGCCGGAACGAAAUCGCGCGGGUUAAUAACCCGUGUGGAUGACGGUACCGAAGAAGAGCC
RNAcentral lists this ribosomal RNA (487 nucleotides) under uncultured Derxia sp. RNAcentral's name for it is "bacterial SSU rRNA". It matches the Rfam family "Bacterial small subunit ribosomal RNA", at positions 8 to 494 of the family's 1533-position model. The record is from RNAcentral. Lineage: Bacteria; Pseudomonadati; Pseudomonadota; Betaproteobacteria; Burkholderiales; Alcaligenaceae.